AGAGUAAUAGUUAAGAGUUUAACGUGCAGUUUGAAACUGCGAGACACCCUAGGGUUUACUCUG
This 63-nucleotide transfer RNA is filed under the name Doliolum nationalis. Its description in RNAcentral is "tRNA-Ser". Lineage: Eukaryota; Metazoa; Chordata; Thaliacea; Doliolida; Doliolidae. The record is from RNAcentral.